UCUGCUAUGAGCAAAUCGGUGUAUUAGAUUUAGAAUUUAAAGAGAUAGAGUCAUUCUAUGAGUAGAA
This 67-nucleotide transfer RNA is filed under the name Engaeus sericatus. Its description in RNAcentral is "tRNA-Leu". Lineage: Eukaryota; Metazoa; Arthropoda; Malacostraca; Decapoda; Parastacidae. The record is from RNAcentral.